Molecule: ribosomal RNA, 349 nt
Filed under: uncultured bacterium
Lineage: Bacteria
Description: partial 16S ribosomal RNA
Rfam family: Bacterial small subunit ribosomal RNA
Source: RNAcentral
CCUACGGGCGGCAGCAGUGGGGGAUAUUGCACAAUGGGGGAAACCCUGAUGCAGCGACGCCGCGUGUGGGAAGACGGUCCUCUGGAUUGUAAACCACUGUCCCCAGGGACGAAGAUGACGGUACCGGGGGAGGAAGCGCCGGCUAACUACGUGCCAGCAGCCGCGGUAAGACGGCGGGAGCAAGCGUUGUCCGGAAUUACGGGGUGUAAAGGGAGCGGAGGCGGGCUGGCACGUUGGGUGUUAAAUCUACCGGCUCAACUGGUAGUCGCACUCCAAACUGCUAUUCUUGAGUGAAGGAGAGGCAGGCGGCAUUCCUAUUGUAGCGGUGAAAUGCGUAGAUCUUAGGAGG